Molecule: long non-coding RNA, 2924 nt
Organism: Serinus canaria (Common canary)
Lineage: Eukaryota; Metazoa; Chordata; Aves; Passeriformes; Fringillidae
Exons: 4
Source: RefSeq, a predicted model, not a curated record
UUGUACCCCCCCCAGUCUCCUCACUGGUGGGGUGAGGAGCAGAAAGGGCCUUGACUCUCUAAGUUCUGCUCAGAAAUAACAAAAACAUCCCUGAAUUAUCAACGCUGUUUUCAGGACCAAGCCAAAACACAGCCCAUACCAUCUACUGUGAAGAAAAUGAACUCAACUUUGGGCAAAACCAGCCCAGAAAAUAAAAGGGGUGCACAUAAAAAUAUAUUAAACAUGACAGCAACAUUAACAGCCUUGUUUGGAGAGAGGAUGUUUUCAUAACAGAAUACAUUAUUUACUGCUCUCUCCUGUAUCAUUCCACCAUGAUGUCAGGAUUGCAUUUUUCCUGGAUGUGUGGAUCUGACAUCAGCCACGUUCGUAUUGCCACGCUCAGCUGAGACACCAAGGUGCAGGAUUUCAGCUGGCAUGAAUCCAACCAGAUCAGCACUGCAGAGCCAGCUGAGCUUAAUUGAACUGUGCUGGAAACCUAAAAGUGAUGAAGCUGCCAGGGAAACAACACAGGUUCCUGCAAUAGAGAAGACCCAGUGACAGGAAGAGCCUCAAAAUGUUUUGUUCUGCUCAAUUGCCAAGAACAGAACAAAGCCACGCAGUUGAGCAGGAGAUCUGGUUUGCACAAUCGUACCUAUGGAGAAGCACUCAGAGGUUGGGAGAUGGUUAUCACCAACCACGUGUCAACAUCUUCAAAACUCAUCUUGAUGGCUUCAUUCUUCUUUUGUGACCUACAGCCUCAACGAGAGUUUUUACAGAAACGGAACACCACGGAACAGCAAAUUUGGGAACCUUGUCACUUGACAAAAAAAACGCUUGGCUCAGAAUGUUAUUUUUCUUAAAUGUAUCUUUCAGCCGCUGUCAUUAAAACUGUUAAAUAGCUUUAGGAACCUGUUUUGUCAAUUACCUUGGGGACAGGAAUGAAAUACUGGGCUGUUAAGCGUGUGCCACAAAAAAUAAACUGCGCCGCGAGAGCCGCGGGAGGAGCGCUCGCGGGGCUGGGCACGCGCCGGCACACCUCAGCUCCUCCUGGAUCCUCCCCACUGCUCCAGCAGCUCUAAUUAGUUGGGAUUAGAUAUUCCCAACUCGGGGAGAUGCUCUCCAUAAAUAUUUGUUUGCGUUUAAGAGCAGAUUUCUGCAAAGGUGCUGGUGCUGACUGUUUCCCGCCAGGAGCAGUGGCAAAGCGCGGAUGCAACGCCCAGAUGUGCACAAUGUGUGUGACCCACAUUGGGCACUGAGGCCACUUGAUCAGCAAAGCUCUGGGUUGUUUCUUCAAGCAGGGCUUUGGUGGGGUAGAUUCUUACAUUUUUAGAUAUAUUUAGUGCAGAAAAAAAUGUGUACACCAUUGUGCAUGAAACUGAACUGCACGAAUGAAUUCUGUGCCUGAGAGCAAGAAUAUUCAUUGUAUACAUUAAUGAUGCCUCAUUUCUAAUUUUUUAUUUCUAAAUAUGGGUGAAGCUGCAUGUCUCUGGAGGGGGGCAUUGCAAUUCUGUUUGGAUGGAUAAAAGUGUUUUAUUCCCACAAUAUUUUUUUUUAAAUAAAUAUUGCCAGUGACAUUGCUAAGAAAAGACACUGCUAGAAAUUAUGAUUAUCAUAACUGUAGUGGACUGGGGUAAUGGUCCUGAGUUAAAGUUCCUGUGGCAAAAGUUUUUGCAAAUUCCAGGGAUUUUUCAAGAGAGCAAGAGGGAAAUCAAAGAUGUUUGUGGGUUUUUUACUCCGUAAAACUCCUUCCAGAAACAAAAUAGGUAGAAAUUAAAGCUACAAACUAGGCAGAAAAGGAACAAAAUAGGAAGGUAAGGAACUGAUUGGAAACCCCAGGAACAGAAUAGAGAGGUAAGGAAGUUUCACAAAAUGUUUUAAUUCUUCUCCUUGAAUGAAAGAGUUAUGUGGGGGAAAAGAAUGCUCAUUUUAAUUUUAUGAAGUGAAAUUUUGUAAAUUCUCUCAGUUUAAUGCCCUGAUCUGUUCUUGCUUGUAAUUAACAGUACUCAGCAGUAGCCCUUAUUAACCUCAGUAACAAUUCAUUUAAAACAAUAUUUUGCAAAAUUGCAGUUGUUUUUUCACUUCUGUGUAUUGCUGCAUGUCUGGGAGAGGUUGUACAGCCACCCAAAACCCACUUCAUCCUCAAAUCCAGGCAUACUUUGCAUUCAGAGCUUUGAAAACCAGCUAAAUUUACACCCAGCUUGCUCUGGAAAUAAAUCUGCUCAUUUAGAUGAGGUCUCAUUUAAAAUGGCUUAGCCCAAUAAUUAAUCAUUUCAUUCUCUUUAUAUAUUUGUGGGUGUUUGAAAGAAGUUUGAUUAGUUACCAGUGAUUACACUUCCUAACACCCUGCAAAGGAAAUAAUAAAAUAAAACCCGUCAGGCUUUUGUAAGGAUUGCUGGAACUGAAUUUGGGCUGAAUUUAAUAGUGACUUACUAACUGGCAAUUAUUUGUCUGCCUUUAACAGGAACUCCAUAAUGAAGGAGGUUAUCAUCCAGGAGUUAUACCCAGCUUGUUUUUAAACCUGCAAAGGGAAGAUACUGUGAACAAAGCAGUGAUGGCUCUUAGGUUCCUCCCCAGCCACCAGGAGAGGAGUGGGGCUGUUUUGGAUCACCUGAGCACAGAUAAUGGACAGAGCUCUUCACCUCACAUCUGUCACUGAGGUCUACAUGUGGUUGCUAAGCCUCCCUUAUCACAUGGAAGGGUGGAGACAGGGCAGCAGUUUUCUCUGGAAAAGAGACAGAUGAUCAUGCCAAGUUGUGGAGAAGUACUGGCAAUGGCUUCGCUGGGGAGAGAUUGAGACACCCUUUCGACAGGAGCCAACACCCAUUUUGAGAUGAAAAAUGUCCAUCCCACCAUCCAGCUCUGCAGUGUCUCCUCCAGCAGGAUCUUCUCUGGGAAAACUCCCACUGCUGUGUCUGCCAUGAGCAGCCAACUGGCCUCAGUUAAAC